CCUACGGGAGGCAGCAGUGAGGAAUAUUGGUCAAUGGACGCAAGUCUGAACCAGCCAUGCCGCGUGCAGGAAGACGGCUCUAUGAGUUGUAAACUGCUUUUGUAAGAGGGUAAAGGCAGAGACGUGUAACUGUCUGAAAGUAUCGUACGAAUAAGGAUCGGCUAACUCCGUGCCAGCAGCCGCGGUAAUACGGAGGAUGCAAGCGUUAUCCGGAUUUAUGGGGGUUAAAGGGUGCGUAGGCGGUCGGCUAAGUUAGAGGUGCAAUCCCGUGGCUCAACUUCGGAAUUGCCUCUGAUACUGUUCGGCUAGAGCGUAGUUGCGGUAGGCGGAAUGUAUGGUGUAGCGGUUAAAUGCUUAGAGAUCAUACAGAACUCCGCUUGCGAAGGCAGCUUACCCGGCUACUUCUGACGUUGAGGCACGAAAGCGUGGGUAGCAAACAGGAUUAGAUACCCUUGUAGUC
This 460-nucleotide ribosomal RNA is filed under the name uncultured bacterium. RNAcentral's name for it is "partial 16S ribosomal RNA". It matches the Rfam family "Bacterial small subunit ribosomal RNA", at positions 338 to 795 of the family's 1533-position model. The record is from RNAcentral.